CGCGUAGGCGGGGAUUUAAGUUAGAUGUGAAAACUCCGGGCUUAACCUGGAGACUGCAUUUAAAACUGGAUUUCUUGAGGGCAGGAGAGGAAAGUGGAAUUCCUAGUGUAGCGGUGAAAUGCGUAGAUAUUAGGAGGAACACCAGUGGCGAAGGCGACUUUCUGGACUGUACCUGACGCUGAGGCGCGAAAGCGUGGGGAGCGAACA
This 207-nucleotide ribosomal RNA is filed under the name uncultured bacterium. RNAcentral describes it as "partial 16S ribosomal RNA". It matches the Rfam family "Bacterial small subunit ribosomal RNA", at positions 568 to 774 of the family's 1533-position model. The record is from RNAcentral.